Non-coding RNA from Crucibulum laeve, 107 nucleotides. The record is from the annotation of a GenBank genome assembly. NCBI's taxonomy places the organism in Eukaryota, Fungi, Basidiomycota, Agaricomycetes, Agaricales, Nidulariaceae.
GGCCGACUAGCUCAGCUGGUUAGAGCAUUGUGCUAAUAUAGAAAGAGGUCCAUCGUGGAUUCACAAUGUCAACGCGAAGGUCUUGGGUUCGAUCCCCACGUUGGCCA